GAUUCUGCACUCUUCAGCAAGGGCUUGAUUUUGAAGAACAGCUUCAUCCAGGGCCAGUGCUUGACAUUCAUGAAUGCACGAAUGUUGUACUGGAUGCAGAAGAUGGACUCUCUGAAUGGAAGCCCCUGCACCUGGCCUGUGUGCGAGUAAUGAGCUGUGCCAGCUUCUCAUCCCUCAUCUCCUCCAAAAGGCCUACCAGCCCGGCUUUGAAGAACACCUUAGGACUCUGUUGGGAAAUCCUUUCCUGCAAAUUCUGAUCCCUUCCAGCACACCGUUACACCGCAGCUGGUGCAGUACUAGUUCAUGCUCCAUGGCACCUAACAAUUCAGAGCACAAAUGGAUGUUGUAUUCUGUAAUAUAUCAGGGAAGACCUGCACCAUAUUGAAAACUUUCUGUAUGAGGGAUAUACUGAUACUUCUCUGAUGCAGUUUGAAGCAUACUACAGUAGACGUUUAAGACAUGACUAUGGCGCUUCCCAACUUCUGCCUAGUUCUUUAAAAAGAGAAGACUCAGAAAACUGGAGGCGUGGGUUCUAGCUCCUGCUCUGACAGAGAGGAAUCAAAUC
This is a long non-coding RNA of Cygnus olor (mute swan), 565 nucleotides long. RefSeq lists it as uncharacterized. The record is from RefSeq and is a predicted model, not a curated record. The transcript has 5 exons. Lineage: Eukaryota; Metazoa; Chordata; Aves; Anseriformes; Anatidae.